Anguilla anguilla (European eel) is the source of this 98-nucleotide long non-coding RNA. RefSeq lists it as uncharacterized. The transcript has 3 exons. Lineage: Eukaryota; Metazoa; Chordata; Actinopteri; Anguilliformes; Anguillidae. The record is from RefSeq and is a predicted model, not a curated record.
ACACCCUUGAAUGCAAAGACGUGAGAAUUUAUUUUGUCUUACAACAUAAAACUAAUUUUUUGGAGAAGACUCCCUUCUUCAAAAAAAAUGUUUUAUCA